This is an RNA transcript of Pomacea canaliculata, 12433 nucleotides long. RefSeq lists it as uncharacterized. The transcript is spliced from 23 exons. Lineage: Eukaryota; Metazoa; Mollusca; Gastropoda; Architaenioglossa; Ampullariidae. The record is from RefSeq and is a predicted model, not a curated record.
AUUUUAGAUUCGUAUUUCUUCCUAAACAGCAAAGCACUCAUGUGAAACCAACUUUUAUGUUUGGGCACAUGAGAGCUCUCCUCUCGUCUGCUAGGAUGCUGGUUUGAAAUAGUGGUUUGAAAUAAGCUUUAUUCACAUGCUGUAAAGGUGGCUAAAGAGAAAUUCUUGAACAUGCUGUCAAAGAAUCCUCACCAGAAAAGUCAUGUUGUCUGUGUUCAUCCCAGAUGAAUCACAGUUCUUUGCAAGAGAGAGCUUGGCAACAUGCUGCUGAUUUUCAGGAUCUUCUUCAUGCAAUGAUCUUUAGAUAGAAUAGUCAUGGAAAGGGGGCUGUCUAACAAGACUGCCUUUAAAAACCAUAGCUGUGAAAAAUGUGGUGCAAAAAUGAAAAACCCUUCCACCUUGAGAAGACAUAUGAAGCGCCACCAUCCUUCAACUCUAGGCCAUGAAGCCCUUCUGAAGAGACUUGACAAUUGCACCACCAACAAAAAUCACCCUUCCACAUCUACGCUAGCAGCUUCUCCCACGUCACCUUUAACCCCAUUGGCUCUUGCAGCCUCAGUUUCUAAAACAUCACCGUCAACAACAAAACGAAAAUAUCCGCAUGUAGGUUUUUCAGAAGACCCUAUUCUUCUUGAAAGAAAAAUGAUAAAAACAACUGCCCAAGCACCACAAUGCAGGGUCGAUCCAAAUGAAAUGGUUAUUGUUCCUUCUACAACAGAGGAAGAACUGACAUCACCAGAGAAGUUUGGGGUGAAGUCAGGAUCCGAGCUAGAUACGCCUCUGAUGAUAUCUUUGGUUGGGUCUUACAGGCUAUGCCACAAGGUAAAAGGGGCUCAGGAUGAGAGGACCAGCACGGUGGAGAGCAGUGAAACACUUGUGUCAGAUGAAGAUUGCAUCAUUCCAGAUACAAGUUCACAGGAGUCUGAUGUUGCCUCAGAGCUAGAGAACAUGGUUGAGAUCAGAAUGAGUGAAAGCGAGGGCUCAGAAUUUAAGGGAAUCAAGGCAAGGUGGGUGAAAGAAGGAGAAGAUGUGAGUUCUACAGAUUGUGAAGAUGAUAAAGAACAUUCUUGUCUUUAUCUAAAGCAGACGUCUGAUACACAUCAAGAGAAAACCUCAGAGGAAGAAGAAUUUGAAUUGCCAAAACUAAAUCUGCCCUCAAGACGAUUAAGUCUGGCCAAAUCAUCACAUCAAAGUACUGGAGUUCAUGACACACAGGAUGUUGGGAGGGUUGAGCAGAGAAUCUCACAAAAAGAGACAUCGAGGCAUCCUCCAAAGAAUUUGAGAAAACGACCUCGAGAUGCUAUAUGGCAUGGAAAAAAUGAGUGUGGUCGCUAUAGCAGCAGCAAUAAUUCUGAGGAGAGUAUUGAAUCUUGUUGCUCAGGUGAUGAUGAUGUUGAGAGUAGAAAGAAAGAGUUGCAUUCUGGUUUUGAUCAACUAGAAUUAAGCAGAGCUCUUCAUGAGAGGAGUAAGAAAAGCAGAGGGAAUUCUGAUGCUGAUAUAUCAUUUCUUAGAGAUCAUGGUGCACAGAUCAAAACUCAGACUAGUCAGUGCCAGUUCACCAGUGCACAGAAAGGUCAGUUAUCAAAUACAGACCAACCCAAAAGCACAAAUGAGGCUGCCUAUAAGCGUCUUGAAGAAGAAUGCCCAUCAACGAAGAUUGCAACAAAAGAAGCUGCCCUGAGAGAAAGUUCCUUUACAAUUUUGUGCUAUCCGCUGGCAGCAGGUCGCAGUCUUGCAGACUUUAGUGGUAAAGUUUCAGAUACAAAUUCACAUGAGUUGAAAGACUCCACCAACAUGUCAGAAACUGACACAGCAACUGGGCUACAAUCUCCACAUUCAUUGUCAGGAUUUGAUGACAUGACUCAACCCUGUGAUGAAGUUGACAAAGUUGCUUCAAGUUUGGCUGCUCAGCCUAUGGAAGAUUUUUCCAAAAGUAGAAAAAAAAUAUUGCAAGGCCAACAGUCAGAUGAUGGUGUUGAUCACAUGAUGAAGGCAAAGUCAGGCAAGGAAAAUUGUGUUGAACAGAAGCAGCAGCACUUUGAAAAAAGCAUCAUGGACUCUAUUGGGCUAGAGGAGGCAGCAGAGCAAGACAGUGACAGCAGUCGGAGCGAGCUAUUGUUUGGUGAACCUUCUGAUGAAGAACAGACAGGCAAAGACUGUGUUGGAGAAACUUUUGCCAUAACAACCAUGCCCAAUUGUUCUAACUCGUCUGCCAUAAAGGUGACUGAGUGGCUGGAAACGGACACUAGAAAAAUAAAAAGAUCCUGCAAUGUAUUGCCAGAUUCUGAAAUGAAAACUAUGGAAAUUAAAGCCCAAUUUGAGAGUGAGAAAUCAGAUUCCAGUUUUGUGUCUGCAACAUUUAAGGGUGAUGCUAAGGAAAGCAUUUCAUACUCUUUAGAAGAUGAAGAUGUUGUCAUUGUGUUUGAUUCAGAAGAAGAGGAGUUGUAUAGCAGAUUCACACAGGUUGAAGUAAAAAAGGAAAGCCUUACAGAAGAAAACAAAACAGGAAGUGUUAUUUCCAGUGAAGAUCAACAAGAAUUGAUGGGUGGUGAUGAGGAAGAUGGUGACUUGUUUGAAGACAUAAGCAAGCAGGUGCAGAAGAGAUCUUGGGACAAUGCUGGGGCAUCCACAAUUCCCACAGCUGAUGAUGACAUUUCAGCUUAUGAUCAGCCAACAUUGGUUGAUGAUUACAGUUGUUUUGAUGACAAUGAUGAUGAUAUGUACUUGGCUGAAACACAGCCAGAUGUUGAUUUAUUGAAUGAAUGUAAUGACCUUCAUGUGAAGAAAAUUUCAGCAAAAAAAAUGUGUGAAGGACUUGAAGAGUGUACUGAUUUGGAAUCCUCCUGGAGUGGUGCAGCAUCACCUGCAGGAAGUUUACAGGUAACAGACACAGCAAAAGCAAGUGACCAUGUACAAAUGAGAACAGUAGACAAUUCUGCAGUACAUUCAGUCUCAACAACUAACACUAUUUUGAAUUAUGAUCAGCCAACUUUGGUUGAUAAUUAUGGUUUUCUUGAUAGUGAUGAUAAUGAUGAUGUAUAUGUGACUGACACACAACAAGAUGAUGAUUUUCUUCAUCUUCAUGACUAUAGUAAGGCUAAGGUGAAAAGCAGUUCAACCAAGACAACAUUAUCUAAAGGACAUGAGGGUUACAGUGACCUUGAGCGUUUCAAAAGAGAUGGCACCUUGCUUGUUAAUAAUGCACAGAAGGUAGAUGCUGCAGAAACAAGCAAGCAAAUGCAAGAUACAGCACCAGAGAAAUUUGCAGCUGACCAAAAUCGCACAGCUGCUGAGACUUCACUUUAUAAUCAGCCAACUUUAGCUUAUGAGUCUAAAGGAGUUGGUGGUGGUGAUGAUGAUGAUGGUGAUGAUGAUGCUAGGUACUUGGCUGAAACACAAGUAAAUGUUGGCCUAAUGCAUGAUUAUCAUGAUUCUGAUGCAAAGAGCAGUUUGACCAGUAAGGCGCCCUCUAAAGGACUUGCAGAUUAUGGGGAGAGUGAAUCUUCCAAGAGUGGUAUAGUUUCACUUUCCGAGAGUGCACAGACAGCAAACAAUGCAGAUGAUUUUGAUGAUGGUAUGGAUGACGCACUUUGUCUGGUAGCAACACAGGUGGAUACAGCACCAAUGGAAAGACCUGAUGUUCAAAAACAAAUGGCACAGAAAAGUAUGCCAUCCAUAGAAAGCCAACAGAUGCUGGAACAAAAUUCAAAGGAAUGGUUGAAAAGGGCUAAAUUAAAGAAAAGCUCUGAGCGAUUGAAAGAAAUUUUGUCCAGAAUAUGUGGUACAGGGGUUAAGACAAAAGAUAGCGUAUGUGCAAGCUCUUGCAGCAUAGAUGUCACUGGCCCUAAAUCUACAAAUGCGUCUGAAACAGCCCAUUGUAAUCGAGAUACCAUCAAUGAAGGAAAACUAAAAAAAGGAACUGCUCACAGAAUGGCAACAGUUGAAGACUUGCAAAAAUUACAUGUUUCCAGAACACAACCCAUGACUGUCGCAACAGGGAAAUCAUGCACUUUAUUUCCAACCCCUAAUUCUUCAAAGGAAGAACCAGGUACUUUCAUAAAUAUUGUCAACGCAGAUGGCAACAGAACUACAGUGUCAAAUGAUAAUGAAAAAUUUGGUUCUGCACAUGAUAAAAUAUACAUGGCAGAAACUCUUAUUGCAGACACCAUCAGUAUGAGUGAUCUGUCUGAUACAGAAAUGAAUAGUGAGGAUGACAGUGCUUUAUUUCAAGCUGCCACACAGAUUGAUCCACAGUUUGCUGAUAAUGAAGAGUCAUUCGUGCUAGCAGGCAGACGAGCAUCUGCUUUGCCACUUAGUCACCAAGAAGCCAGUUCUCAUCAUCAAGAAGAACAUGAGACUGUGGAUUUAUGCAAUGCUGAAAAGCUUGAUAUGGAAGAAAUGAGUGAAAACCCCGAUAAUGAAGCUGAUGAGCUGGAUCAUCACAGCAUCUACUACGCAGCUACUCAAGCUGAUCCUGAAAUUCAAAAAUUCGUAUCGCUUGAAGACAAAAGCUCCUGUGAGAGAGAAGAAAUGGUCAAAGGAAGAAAGUUAGAAAACCUACAGCAUAAAAUAGAUGCACAGUCUUCUACAAUUGUUAUUCCAAGGCAGUCAUUUUCCAAAAAGUCUUAUUCAUGUAAAGGUGAUGGCAUCCAGCAUAGUGAUAAGUUGAUGAAAAAGGCUGACAGAUCUCUUGAGUCUGCAGUCCAAAAGAUGAUGAAACAACGUCCUCUUGUCUCUCGCAUCCAGGAGAUCUCUAUCCAGCCAGAAAGUCGACGGAGAGGUAAGUGGAGAGGUUUCAAGCAGAGACUUGAUCAUUCAGAAUUGCAGAAGAGAGAUACUGCUGACAUAGAGCAAAAGCAGACAGAAGUAGAUGAUCGCUGGAUGUCGUCAUCAAAAAGGCAUUUCCAAGAGGGUAAUAAGUCAUCUGACUGGGUCAAAACAAAGGGGUUCAAGAUGCCUUCCAAACGACAAAAAAAGUCAAAUUCUAAGGAGGACAUCAGCAUUUCAACAGAUGCAGCCAAGAAAACAAUGGAAGAGAGAAACAAGAGGAUUAUCUGUGACCCUUCCUCUGCAGGUACUCACUGGCGCAGGUUGUCAACAACCACAGAACAGCCAUGUCCUGAUACUGAUGUUGAACUGCCCAACACUCAAGAGGUUAUGGAGAAACAGUAUCCAAUGUUGUUUCUGUCCAACAUGAGCACCAAGAAUGAGAAGAAGUCUAGCAACGUGAACAGUAAAGUAGUCUGUGAGAAAGAAAACAGGGAAAAGCCUUCAGAAACAUUCCCAAAAAACAACAGCUCUAACAGCCUGACAAGCGAGAAAAGCAAACUUCCUUUCAUCAAGAAUCCACCCAAAGUGUCGGGCAGCGAAAGAGCAAAAAGUGAACCUUCCAAGCAUGAUGCUUUCAGUGAAAGACAAAAGUUUGUGAAGGACGGUCAGGGCCAGUUACUUGAUUCCGAUAAAGAUGAAAGAACUUUCUUGAGGAAGAAAAUUAGAACAGGCUCCGCCAGUUCAAGUUCAUUGUCAGCUGAAAAUCAAGGUCCACCUUUGUCCAGUGUUUUGGAUUCCCAAUCCAGAGAUGAUACGUCUCAAAAUUCAAGAAAUCAUUCUUCACACAUAGGGCACACCAAAGAACGACAUUGUUCUGGAAUGUAUAGAGAAAAGGGUCACGCUUCCAAGGAUGACAGUGUUGACCAAUCAAAUCUUUCUAGAGACAGAAAAAGACGUUCAUCUCAGGACUCAAAAACUGCAGACAGUCACUCAACUUUAAAACAAAGCAUAUUGAAAGACCCUCAUAAAAAAAAGGAAACGGGGUCUUCCAAAACUGUGAGAAUGAGUUUAUCAAAUUCGCAAGAAAAAUCUCAGCUAUUAGCAUGUGCUCGUUCUUCAGUGAAACAUACAGCAUCAUCUGCAGCCUUGGCAUCCAAUCCUUUGCCAGCUUCUCGCCCACCAAUGCCAGCAGCAAGUGCUAAUCUACUUGCUGAGAACCUUCUUCAGAAAAGGUCACAACCUCUAGCACAACCACCCAUGUGGGGAAUGGCAUCCUUCAGAGCCUCAAAUGCAUCAGUUGAUUCCUCUGGCAUCAGUAGAACCACUAAACCAGCCCAAGGACAACUGCUGCAAAGUGACGACCUGUUGUCCAAGUUGUUGAGCUGGUCGCCUCUGUGGCUGGAAGAGUAUGAGAAGUCUGACAAUGGCAGUUUACAAAGCUUGCCCCCUAUUGUAAAGCAUAGUCAACUGUACCCUCUGGUGACCACAUAUGAAAACAUCUUUGACUAUCAGGAAAUAUUCUUUGCGCUUCUAUUGCUGGAGAUCUGGGAAGAGAUUUUCAAGAGUUGGAAAGAGAAGAAGAACAAAAGGUCUAUUUGCAAUGUAUGCUUCACAUCUAAUCAACGUUGCUCUAAUCAGACUUGUUUGGGAUUUGAAUGGAAAGGUUUCAUCUCAAAGCAGCAGCGGGAAGGACGUUUGUAUCCACUGGAGGGGGAGGUAGUGGUUGUUGACAUGCGUGGUGAGUACAUCAACUCAAGUAAAUGCAACCCUUCCAGGAACAUCACCAAUGCACCACAGUUGGGUUAUGUGGAAAAAAUAAGCAUUCAGCCAUGUAUGCAGGCUAAGGAUGUCAUCAGUAGCCAUCCAGCACUCAAAGGAGACACUUUGUGCUCUAAAACAGAUGCCUUCCUUAUAACCAUCAUGUUGAAAAUGCGCUAUCGAAAAUUUGCCCCAAGCCCUGACCAUCUUGUUAAGCUUUAUAGUCUUGGCCCUAUCGUCAAUGGUCUACGGAGAUUUGAGGCUCUAACACACUUACCACGUAGCCCACUUCAGCGUGAUAUUUUGAAGCCAACCCAGUCAGUGUUCAGGCAUUCUUACCACUUGAGAAAUCAGCCUUUUCCCCAGAAACUCCAGAAUGACAGUCAAAGGAAGUACAAUGAGAUCCAGACCCAAGUCAUCAGAAAUAUAGCAACUGCUAUACAAGAACCUCCACAGAUGCCUCGUGUUCGUUUGCUACAAGGCCCACCUGGUACGGGCAAGUCACAUGUCAUUGCUGGAACCAUCUUGAAGAUUCUUGAGGAUAGUAAGAAUGUAGCCAAGAUCUGCCUUGCUGCACCCUCCAAUGCUGCUGCAGAUGAACUUUUGCUCCGAUUAGUAAAGAAGAAGAAUGAAAAUGGUUUAAAAUUCUCCAUGGUGCGAAUUGGCACAGGAGAGAAUAUAAAUCCGGCUGUCAGAGGCUACACACUGGAAAGCAGGAUAAACAAAGCUAAGGAAGAAGAAAUGAGAAGGAGGCAGUUAACCACCAUUCCAAAAUCUGUUCAGAUGGAAUAUGAACGCUAUGAAAAGUUGAUAAGGCAAAAGAAACUUCAUAUCGAAGAGUGCAAGAGAAGGAAAGAUAAGAAAGAAAUUGACAAAUCUGUCAAAGAACUUGAUGGUUUGAAAAAGAGACAGAUGCCUCUGAGGAGAAUAAUUCACAAUGACCAGAAGGAUAUAACCCUGACCCCUGAAGAGUACUAUACAAUCCGCUGCAAUGUGCUGCUACAAGCCAACAUUGUUUGUGGCACCCUAAGCAGCUUUGGGUCAACACAAAUCUACAAAGUCUUUCGAGACCAUGGGAACAGCAGCAACUCAAGACACUUUUCCUGCGCCAUUAUUGAUGAAGCAACCCAAGCCACCGAGCUUGACUGCCUCAUACCACUUCAGUAUGGCAUAACCAAGCUUAUUUUAGUGGGAGAUCCUCAUCAGCUGCCUCCCACUGUCCUUUCAAAAAAAGCACAAUCACUACACUAUGGGCUGUCAUUAUUUGAGCGACUCUAUAAUCAUUUUCGAGAGGACUAUAAAGAGGAAAGUCCUCUGCUGAUGCUGCGUGUGCAGUAUCGCAUGGACAGAGCCAUCUGCCAUUUUCCCAAUAAUCAUGUUUAUAGUGGCCUGCUUCAGACAGACAGCCAGAUUAUAGAGAACUGCAAGCGCUUUCCACUGCACCCAUACCUGGUGUUUGAUCUUGCAGAGGGGCAAGAGCAGUUGUCCCAGUCUGGUUCCUUAAGCAAUGAGGCAGAAGCUGAACUUACAGCAGAACUCUGCUGUCAAAUCCUAAAGUUGGGCUUCAAAUUAUCAGCAGCCAACAUGGGUAUUAUCUGCCCUUACAGCAGUCAGAAGCGACUUGUCUGUGAAAAACUAAAUGAAAGAGGAGUGAAACAAGUGGAGGUCAAUACUGUAGACAGCUUUCAAGGGCGAGAGAAACACAUCAUCAUCUUAUCAUGUGUACGUGCUCAGAGUACAUCGGGCAGUAUUGGGUUUAUGGCCGACAAAAGAAGAAUGAAUGUGUCACUUACACGAGCAAAAUAUUCCCUGUACAUCAUUGGUCAUCUUCAGUCUCUGAAGGAUGUUGCCACACAUUCCCAACAUUUUGUGGAGGACCCAGCUGUUUUGGAUACAAACAGAAUCAUCUGGUUGUGUGGUUUUCACAGGUGCAGAGCGAUAAAUCUCAUUGCACAUCGUACAUCUGUAUUUGUCAAGAUGAUGCUUCCAGGAUAGAAUUAUUUUCCUGCAGUUAAGUCACUCUGAAGAAAACCAGAGGGCUUGUAGGGUUUAAGUGCUUUUCCAUUUGAAAAUGUACAAUUUGUAAAUAUAUAGGUGCAUAUGUUGGUGUAUAUAUAUGCUGAAUUAGUUUUUUGCAUGUUGGUUCCAGAUGGUAGCUGUGUUGGUGAUAGUGAUUUCCAUCUGUGUCAAUGAAUGUAUUGAUGUGUAGGUCCAUGAUUUCUGGUCAAAAAUUUACUUGUGGUUUUUUUUUAACUCUACAGCUGUGUGUUCAUGUGGGGUUUUCCCCCUAAAAUCAUGUGUGCUACAGAAGCAGCAAGAUUUGACAUUAUAUUGUUGUUUUUGCUACCUCCUCUUGUUUCACAUUUUAGUGUUCUGUUUCUAUCAGCCAUUUUUUUUUUAUAUCAAACAUCCUAUAAAGUGACUUAUUUAUUUAUGAACUGCUUUGGCUGAAAUGUAAAGAGGCUGGAACUUGUUGAGGAUGCCAUUCAUUAAUUUUAUUUAACAAAUAUGGUGUACAUAUUUUGCAGUAAACACAGAUUAUUCAUAGUGGCUAAUAGCCAAAUGAAAAUAAUAAUUAUAAUAUUUAAUCACUUUUUUCCAAAUCUGGAUGAGUUACAACUGUUGGUAUCAAUAUGAUUAAUGUAGCUCAUGCCAGCAAUGUGCUGCUACAAAUAAGGAUCAGAAUUCAGCUACAUAAGACAAAUGGGAGACUUUAUCAACUUUUCAACCCCACACCUUUGUAGUGGAGGGGAAAGUAAAAAUUGUGGCUGCCUCUUUCAGAUUUCUCAUAGGAUCCCCUCACAGAGUUGUCCAACUUCACUCUGCAUGGCAGAGGUACAUCGCAAUUUGUGUAGUCAUAUAAUUAUAUUCCAAAUAAUUUUUCAUGAACAUGUUUUUUGCUUGAUUUCAGUGAGACAUGUUAAAAUAGUUCUGAAAAAUGAAAAGCUGUGCUCUUUCACUUGCUUGCUGCUCGUUAUUUUUAUCAUUAUAAACAGACUUGUUACUUUCUCAUCUUUUGUGGCAAACUUGCGAUGACAGCAGAAAGCUGUAGUGGAAGUGAUCAAAAUCUUACUCUUCCUCUUUUUUUUUCAUAUAAAAGUUAUUAUUUUUCAGGGAAAUAGACAAAAUAUUUUUGAAAAUUUCAUUUACUAAUUUGAGAUGGUUAAGUUUUUUUGUUGGAAAGAUUAUAACUUCUGAUAUCUAUGCUGAUAAUUUCACUAUUGCACAGUUUAAAAAAAAGCACAAAUGUAGCAUACUGGUAUGUGUCGUGAACUCCGGGGAAUGAGCAUGCGAAGGUGGUCAGAGGUUGCGAUUCCUGCUGCCUUGGGCUGUUCACACUCUCAACACCUCUACCAACUCGUGCCGACAUAAACGUGUACGCGCACACUUACACUAAAUUGCUAAGUACACUUUAAUUGACUCAGAGCCCCAGCUUACCUCCCCAAUAAACAACACAAGACCAUUUAGUGUAUUUAUGAAAGUUAUUAAUGGCCGUUAUCUAGGGUAUCUUGUUAUUUGUUUAUCCCCAGUCUAAGCAACGUGAGCCACUAAUUAGCUUAACCAACACACACAACACAUGCACUCGCGUAACACACACUCGAUCGCCACUUAUCUUUCCACACUAAAGUCUCUUGUCACGUGAGGGGCCCCUCCUUGCCGUAAUAUAGCCUCAGUUGCUGGCACGGUGUAAAACAUCAAUGCCCCCCCCCCCUCCGAUAUUGAUGUCCGAGAAUCCGUUGAUGAUGCUCCAUCGAUCGUAGCUGACUCCUUCACAAGCGCCGAGACUCUGGCACCACCAUGUGCCACCACAUUUCUGUCUCGUCCCUAGGCUGGACUGCCGUCUCAAGCUUAACAGCGCCUAACAGGAUCAACACUUAUCUACCAGCCUCUCUCUACUGUUUGCGACCUAACAGCUACUGGUGAUGAAGCGUUGCGCACUCUGUGCUAGAGUGGGUCUUAACGCACCUAUUGAGUCAGUUGUGCUGAAGCUGUCACGAUUCCAAGACAAAUCACAGCAGAGAAUCUGAACAGCCUUGAACGGACCUCUGCUACAACUUUACUCUUCAAGAACCCGGUACGAAAGACCACGAGUCUCAAUAUCAUGAUAGCUUUCCAGGGAAAAUAACAGGGAAAAUCACUUUGAAGUACCUGGUAAUAAAUCUAAUACCCAGUGAAGCUUAGUACAUGGAAUAGAUUUUUUUUUUCCAUCAGAAGCAUUACUAUCAGCUUAGAACUGGGACAAUAAACAUGCGUCAUAGCAACGUAUACAAACCAAAUACAGCCGAUGAACUUCAUGUUGAUGAAAAUAUUCAUGUCAUAUUUGGUGAGGAUUGGAUAUAUGGUGGACACAGACAUGUAUUUAUAUACACACACUGCCACAUUUUAGUUAAAAAAACGUGCUAUUACAGUCUUUUAUAUCUAUGGGCAUUUGCUUGGUUAAGAGAUAAUUGAAAAUAAUGAAUAUCGUGAUAAAUUUUUGAAAAGUUUUCCUUGUGUAAGGGAAAGACUUUCUGAUUCUGGUGAACAUUUUAUGCAAUUUUUUCCUGAAAUGUGUACUCUAGAGAGGAUCUUUAGAUUGUAAAUUUGCUAACAUAUGCUAUUUGAACUGCAAUCCUAGCAGACUUUGCUAUCCAGGUGUUGUUUUAUAUAUUCACAUGUAUUUAUCAUCAUUCAUCAUAACACCAUAAAUCACAUAGUUUUUGCAAGGCAUGGUUUUGCUCAUCAAAGUUUAAUUUACCAUCUUAUUAAUUGUAAGUGCCUGUUAAUGUUCACUUUAACCCUUGCAGUAACAUUUAAUUCACAGAAUAAGUAAGCUGAAUAUAACUAAAAUAUGGGCUUAUUGCAGCCCUUAGGAAACCUAUAUAUGUCACUGAAGUCAAUAAAACAAAGUGAAACAUGCCUAUGCUUAUUUCUAACCCUAUUGCCUGAAGGGAAACUUCUUUUUAUUUUCAGUUUACUUUAAGUGUGAAACUGUUCCAAGCACUGUUUUGAAGCUGACAAAUAAUGAUAAAUGCCAAAUAAUUGUAAAGCGCAUUCUCACAUUCCUAAGAAGUAUGCUUUUAUCGCCUAUGAACAAGAAUGAAACAUGGACAGCAGGAGGGGCAGGAAAACAAACAUAAGAACUAUAAAAGAAUAAACAACAGUAUUAAUGAUGAAUAAAAACAAAUACCGAAAACGCAAGAAGAGGAACCACAUAACAAUAACUGGGAAUAACAUGACAUUGCAAAAGGAACACUGUCAGGGAAGGAUGUGAAAAAAGGACUAGAAUGGUGGGAAAGAGAGUUAGGAAAUAUAUAGGGAUGACCCAGUCAGAAAGUACAGCACAGCGUAAUAACCCUGAAGUGAAACCACAGUCGCCUACAGAAAGCACCAGGGGCUGUAUGCACCGCCAGUGUAGUUGUUACAGUUCAGCUGACAGCUUGUUUUCUAAAUCCGGUUUUCUAGUUGUUCAGCGAGCACUAUAUGCUUCUGGUCUCAAAGUACGCGAACACAUUAGUCACGUUGAUUGGAUCCGGUGGCAGGCGAUAAAAUUUUCCAUCAUGAACGUGUAUUUUCCCAUGGCUGCCGAUGACGCCAUAAGGCCUUCCCACCAAUCCACGCAGUUCGAUUUGCGUGCAUGCGUCGUCGCCAUAGGAUGUAAGGGCAGGCAGGUUAACAAAAACAAAGUAGGCGAGAGAUAUUUGAGUUGAUCUCCACACACAGGAAGUAUUAAUUCCUCUUCUUGAAUUUGAGCAGCCAGAAACAAGUUUUUCGGUUUGUGGAGACAAUUCGUUCUUUUGCAGAGAGAUCGGUGCCGUCACAAUGUGUUGUCCACUUCUGUACGCCAUUGUUUCAUCUGAAGCAAGCGUUGACGUCCUAAAACAAGUGCGCUGCACAACAGCAUACGUAGGGACCGGGAGAGGGG